This is a long non-coding RNA of Nycticebus coucang (slow loris), 488 nucleotides long. RefSeq lists it as uncharacterized. The transcript has 3 exons. The record is from RefSeq and is a predicted model, not a curated record. NCBI's taxonomy places the organism in Eukaryota, Metazoa, Chordata, Mammalia, Primates, Lorisidae.
ACUUAGGUCUCUCAGGUUAGGACAGGGAGUGUCUUUACCCAUCUGUGCAGGUGCAUCUGUUAAACUUAGGUCUCUCCUCAACCUGGCUGCCUGCCAUCGUUCCAAGAACGUGUGGUCCCUGCUACGCACGAAGGAAUACAAGGAAAUCUGAGGGUACCGAGACUCUCAGAAAGGCAUUGAGAUGCCAGAAGAGUCUGUACCCACACUUGACUUUAAAAUGCAUUUGUUUCCUACACUUAACAUGCUUGCACCCUCUGCUAGAAAGCCUGAAGGCAGGAAGAGAGUAAGAUUUGGGUGAUUAAAUUAUUUAUUUAUUCAUUAUUUUCUGUAUACAUAUACGUGUUUAUUUGGUUUCCACUUUGUGCCUUCACAAGGUGAUUAAAUUAUCUAAAGUCACUGAUGACGGCAGCACUUGAGAGUGCAUUCCAGUCUGUUCCAUCCAAAGGAUUAUCUGGAAAAUUCCCUUCCUUUAGACUCCAGGAUCCAAC